AGGAGCCGCAUGAGGUGAAAAUCUCAUGUACGGUUCUGAAGAGUGGCAGUAGGGUGACUUAUCUGUCAACUUUUCC
Vitis vinifera (wine grape) is the source of this 76-nucleotide non-coding RNA. Lineage: Eukaryota; Viridiplantae; Streptophyta; Magnoliopsida; Vitales; Vitaceae. The record is from Rfam.